RNAcentral lists this transfer RNA (86 nucleotides) under Streptomyces globisporus. RNAcentral describes it as "tRNA-Arg". The record is from RNAcentral. Lineage: Bacteria; Bacillati; Actinomycetota; Actinomycetes; Kitasatosporales; Streptomycetaceae.
GGCGGGGGUGCUGCUGUGGGCGGUCGGGCUGGCCUUCGAGGCCAUCGGUGACGCCCAGCUCGCCCGGUUCAAGGCCGACCCCGCCA